CAGUCGCCACGGUAAUACGAAGGGGGCUAGCGUUGUUCGGAAUUACUGGGCGUAAAGCGCACGUAGGCGGACUUUUAAGUCAGGGGUGAAAUCCCGGGGCUCAACCUCGGAACUGCCUUUGAUACUGGAAGUCUUGAGUGUGGAAGAGGUAAGUGGAAUUGCGAGUGUAGAGGUGAAAUUCGUAGAUAUUCGGAAGAACACCAGUGGCGAAGGCGACACACUGGCUCACUACUGACGCUGAGGCGCGAAAGCGUGGGGAGCAAACAGGAUUAGAUACCCGUGUAGUCCCUGUCUCUUAUAC
Molecule: ribosomal RNA, 301 nt
Filed under: uncultured bacterium
Lineage: Bacteria
Description: partial 16S ribosomal RNA
Rfam family: Bacterial small subunit ribosomal RNA
Source: RNAcentral